CGCAAAUAUAGUGCCAAAGGUUUAUGCCCAGGCAUAUGGGCUCUUUUGUAUAUUCAAAUUGGUCUGUACAGCAACAGCAGAGCAGGGAAGGUGGGUGUGUACGUGUGCUAGUACAGCAGAUUGGAUCGUGACUGCAGAGAGGUAAAUUGGAUUACUUUGCAUUUUCCAUGAAGCAAUCUAUUCUAUUCUCUUGCUUGCAAAUCUUUCACAUGAUUUUUGGUAGACAUGCUUCAAUUUUUGUCUUAGAGUCUACUGGGAAGAGUCAACUCCAGCAGGACCCUUUAUACUCCUCUGCCACUGCUGAGGCGUUGACAGGAAAUGAACAUCUGUUCAUCCAGCUGCUCUUGAAGCAACCUAUUACAAGAAGCAAUUAAGAACACCAUGAGCAUAUCCUCCCAGGUACGUAUUAACUGUUUAUUUGUGUCCAUGAUGGAUCAACAGAAGUUGUUUGGGAAAGUAAUUUAACACAACCUAGCCCAGAUGCUGCUGCUGAAACACUACCAGGAAAUCUUUAUGGCAAAAUCAUCUGAGCAAGACUGGCCAAAUAAAAAAUAAUCCUAUCCAGUUUAUAACCUAUGC
RNAcentral lists this long non-coding RNA (579 nucleotides) under Cyanistes caeruleus (blue tit). RNAcentral's name for it is "lncRNA (ENSCCEG00000014243.1)". Lineage: Eukaryota; Metazoa; Chordata; Aves; Passeriformes; Paridae. The record is from RNAcentral.